This 253-nucleotide ribosomal RNA is filed under the name uncultured bacterium. RNAcentral describes it as "partial 16S ribosomal RNA". It matches the Rfam family "Bacterial small subunit ribosomal RNA", at positions 524 to 776 of the family's 1533-position model. The record is from RNAcentral.
UACGUAGGGUGCGAGCGUUGUCCGGAAUUAUUGGGCGUAAAGAGCGUGUAGGCGGCUUUGCAAGUCCGUUGUGAAAACUCGAGGCUCAACCUCGAGACGCCGGUGGAAACUGCAAAGCUAGAGUCCGGAAGAGGAGAGUGGAAUUCCUGGUGUAGCGGUGAAAUGCGCAGAUAUCAGGAAGAACACCCGUGGCGAAGGCGGUUCUCUGGGACGGUACUGACGCUGAGGCGCGAAAGCGUGGGGAGCAAACAGG